Molecule: long non-coding RNA, 1203 nt
Organism: Dermacentor silvarum
Lineage: Eukaryota; Metazoa; Arthropoda; Arachnida; Ixodida; Ixodidae
Exons: 5
Source: RefSeq, a predicted model, not a curated record
CUGAAUGCCGCUUGCCGCUUCUUUACCGUGUUGCUCUAGCUAGGGCGCACAACUGCACGAGUUCAUCGUGUGGCGUGUUAAAGCUGCUGAACAUCAUUCCAAGCAUUUUUGUUUUGUUUUGUUUUAUGCGGCCCUGCGGAUGGCAGUCCGUGGCAGCCUACCAGACACACCAGGAUCUGCAGCUGUCACUUUGUAAAUGGCGAGAAGUCGAGAAGCUCUGCCUAUCUACCAACCUUGUUUCCAAGUGCGUAGAGGUCUACCAACGUUGCUACUGCACAUAGGUAUGAAAGGCUCCGGUCACAUGAGCAGCACAGACAAGCCACAUGGAGCUGUGUGUUGCCAGUUCCUGACGGCCAAGAAUGGAGUGGUGCAACUGCAGUGCACAAAAGUGUAGAAACGCAGACAGACCCUUGCACAUGGUUCUCGGAGGUGGAUAUGCCGAGCCUCUUCUUUUGUUGUUUAAAAGAAUGCGAAGCUGAGACGCAGGUUGUUCUUCCCUGCAAGAAGGAAAGCAAAGAUGCUACAUGGGGAACAUCCUACGACGUCAAGGACGCUGCUUGUGAUCCUAUGAACGUUGACCACAUGACCUCAAGCCCUGGCUUCUGUGGUUAUGCGAGUGUUUCAUCCUGCCCCAGUGACAAACCUUCAGAUAUUUUAAAGUGUAUUGCUGGAGUUUCAGUGAGUGUUUUUACAAAGCUGCUAUGUCUUGUAGUUCAGGCGCUCAAUGUACAGGGGAAUGAGGACACCACCAGUGCUUCAAGCAAAUAGCUUCUUUUUUUGAUGAAACUAAAACUAAACUUGUCCUAGUCGUCCUUGGCAGUGUUUUUUGGGUUGCACAGACCCACAUGUUCAAGGCAUUUUCUGCUCAUCCUUUCCACUCUCCAUGCAAAAAUGCGGCCAGUAAUUUACUGGCCAUCACGGCCAACCACGCAGCUGAUGAUGUCCAACUGCUUCAAGCCCGACUAUGUGAACUGCAGGGUUAUCAUUGACUGCACAGAUGUACCCUGCGCAGCGCCAAGCACUGUCCAUGAGAAAGUGCUCAUGUAUUCUAGCUACAAAGGAACAUACACUGUGAAAUUCCUUGUAGGAAUAACUCCAAUUGGCAUCAUAAGCUGUAUAUCAAGGCCUUAUGGGGGCCGUGCCACCUACUCUCUUAUAACAUCUGACUGUGGCAUAUUGCACAUGCUCGAGCCAGGGGACCUU